Long non-coding RNA from Uranotaenia lowii, 649 nucleotides. RefSeq lists it as uncharacterized. The transcript is spliced from 3 exons. The record is from RefSeq and is a predicted model, not a curated record. NCBI's taxonomy places the organism in Eukaryota, Metazoa, Arthropoda, Insecta, Diptera, Culicidae.
CUUGUGGAGAAAAUUUAUUUCGAUAUUUGUCAGAUAGUGUGAGCUGCUGUUUCUACUGUGUAACUGUGAAGCGGAAACAAAAACUUUAAAACGGAUGGACCAGAACUCGGACGUUAGAACUGGCAGGUUUUCCGGAGCAGCGUUUCACUUUGUCCCUUCAGUGAUAAUUCGAAUUUGCAACAGUUACUGAUAAAUAACUAAUUGCUGGGCCCUCGAAUUGGAAGAAGAGGAAUAAUAAGAAUUACUUCGCUACAAGUUUUCCACCCUGCCUGUGAAGGAUAUCCAGAAACCGCUUAGAGCCCUCCCAACCUUCCAAGAGUGUCAAAAAUCCUUUUAUCGAUGUGGUUGAAGCUGAUGCCAUCAAUUUUAGACCCUAAAAAGAGACGCAUGUCAAAUUCCCGUGUUGAAACACCUGUCUACGAAAAUCAAUUGUUACUAAUGGUGGGUACCAGAUAUCCGAAGGGCUCAACAGAAUGUAACUAAAUAAAUUUUAAUAUUUUCGACAAUGCCCGACCCUGUCUUAGAAUUACUUUUUUGUUCAUCCCGAUUGCGGUCGUGAGGAACUUUCACUUCCGUACCUAUAACUGCUGCCGCGUGUCGGAGCUGAAUCAUCUCAAGUCCGACGAAAUCCAGUGAAGAUUUUCUUGAU